RNAcentral lists this ribosomal RNA (156 nucleotides) under Brevibacillus centrosporus. RNAcentral's name for it is "partial 16S ribosomal RNA". It matches the Rfam family "Bacterial small subunit ribosomal RNA", at positions 1 to 165 of the family's 1533-position model. RNAcentral also lists the same sequence under 1 other name. The record is from RNAcentral. Lineage: Bacteria; Bacillati; Bacillota; Bacilli; Caryophanales; Paenibacillaceae.
UUAUUGGAGAGUUUGAUCCUGGCUCAGGACGAACGCUGGCGGCGUGCCUAAUACAUGCAAGUCGAGCGAGUCUCUUCGGAGGCUAGCGGCGGACGGGUGAGUAACACGUAGGCAACCUGCCUCUCAGACUGGGAUAACAUAGGGAAACUUAUGCUA